Molecule: long non-coding RNA, 1943 nt
Organism: Vidua macroura (Pin-tailed whydah)
Lineage: Eukaryota; Metazoa; Chordata; Aves; Passeriformes; Viduidae
Exons: 3
Source: RefSeq, a predicted model, not a curated record
UCUCCAUGGAGAUCAGGUUGCUCCAAGCCCAUCCAACGUCCUUCCAGUGCUGUUCUACCAACCCACAACUGGAAUUCCCCUCUUUAUCUGUUGGAAAAUUGCUCAUUCCAAGUGCAAGGAUUAUAAUUCCCCUCUUCAGGCAGAGUUUUCCCUCAAACCAUUGGAUUCUGGGCACCAAUGUUGAAAAACUUGGAUCUGCUGUGGAUUUCUUCCAGCUUUGGGGUGACCUCACUGUGUUUUUCCAAGACCUGAAGGAGGCGACAGGAAAGAUGGAGAGGGAAUAUUUCCAAGGAAUUGUCCAAGGCCAGCUUGGAACAACCUGGGAUAGUGGAAGCUGUUCCUGCCCAUGGAAUGGGAUGAUUACAUUCCCUUCCAUCCCAACUCAUUCCAUGAUUCCACGACCUUGGAGCUGGACCCCCUUGCACAGAAUGCAAACACCGGGAAUGUGCUAAGCUAUUCCAGAGGAGAUGACACACGCACCCCAAAUCCCCCUUCCCAGGUGGAAAUUCCUCAUUAUCUCCUGGUUGGAUUUGCAAAUCUGGAAAAAAAACAAACAAGGAAUAUCGGAAAGGACGAAAGUCUCCAGCGUGAGGAGCAGUGCCAGGAAUUCCUUCCUUCCGAAGGCCGUUGUGGAUGCAAACCACCGGCAGCAGCUCAUUCCUAGCAAUAACAGCUAUGUCAUAUUUCCUGGAACACGGGCAGUGCGGAAUAUCAUUGGAAAAGGAAAAUAAACACGGCUUCGCUCCGUGAAUCACCGGCCAUAAAUUCUCACCGAGGAAAAAAAACAACUCACACAACUGAGGGAGCCUUCAGGCAGCAGCAGAAGGGUUUGCUGAUCCCUCGGUGAUGUCCCACUGGAGUUAAUAUCCCGCUUUUCCAAGCUGGGACAAAGCUACGGCUGGAUAAAACAAAGACAAACCACAUCCUCCUCCGCUUUCUGAAGUGGGAUGAAGUCCGACAUUCAAUCUGUUUUUUCUGGGUUUAAAACUCACUUUAAUGGGUCCUUUUUCUUUUUCUCCCUCUUUUUUUAUUUUUUUCCCCCUUUUUUUUAAGGUUGCUUGCCUUGGAAGGGAGAUGGCAACUCCCCCAAAAUCCCAUAAAGGUGCUGCUCCUGGUGGCCAAAAAUUCCAUUAAUUUCUUCUAAAAAUAUUAAGGAUCGAGUCUCAAUGGGUGAAAAUAAACUGAGCCCAGAAGAAGCUCUGCUGAGCUCUGUUCCCAAAGCCUCCAAACACACAGGGAGCAGCAUCCCCAAAUUCCUGUGGGAUUCAGGGAAGAAAUACGGAGUGGUUUGGGUUGGAAGGGAUCUUAAAGAUCAACUCAUUCCUAUCCCCAGGACAGGAACGCAGCUGGAAGCAAGAGUUGGGAAUUUGGCUUGACUCUCAUGUUCUGCAUUAGAAAUAACCAUGGAAUUAUGGAAUAUCCUGAGUGACCCACAAGGAUAAUCCAGUGCAGCUCCCAGUCCGGCACAGACACCCCAACAAUCCCACCCUGUGCAUCCCCGGGACUGGUGUCCAAACAUUCCUGGAGCCUGGGCAGUGCCCAGCACCCUCUGGAUGAGGAAUCUUUUCCUAAAUCCAACCUAAACCUCCCCUGGAACAGCUCCAUAAAUUUGGGGGAAGUCUUUUCUUAAAUCAUUCCAAAACUGUAAGACCCCCAAGGAGGUUUUCAUCCUGAUGGAAGGUGGAACCUGUCCAAGGUGGGAAUUUUUCUGGAGCAGCACAAGGAUUAUUCUGGUUGUCCAAUUUGGCCUUGGAUUCAUUCUGCUCAAGUCAGGACAAACCUGGAGAAUUAUCCAGGGAAUUACAUCCCUAAAACUCUCACCUGGUCCUGGUGUAGACGAAUAAAGAAAAAAUCCUCACAAUGAGGAAUUUCCCAAAGAAACUUCUACCUGGAGGGAUUUUUGGGAAUAUCCCUGCAAGUUAGACCUCGGUGUCUUUAUCCAA